Molecule: ribosomal RNA, 253 nt
Filed under: uncultured bacterium
Lineage: Bacteria
Description: partial 16S ribosomal RNA
Rfam family: Bacterial small subunit ribosomal RNA
Source: RNAcentral
UACAGAGGGGGCAAGCGUUGUUCGGAAUUACUGGGCGUAAAGGGCGCGUAGGCGGCCCGGUAAGUCGGACGUGAAAUCCCCGAGCUCAACUCGGGAACUGCGUCCGAUACUGGCGGGCUUGAAUCCGGGAGAGGGAUGCGGAAUUCCAGGUGUAGCGGUGAAAUGCGUAGAUAUCAGGAGGAACACCGGUGGCGAAGGCGGGUCUCUGGGCCGUAACUGACGCUGAGGAGCGAAAGCAUGGGGAGCGAACAGG